Molecule: ribosomal RNA, 585 nt
Filed under: uncultured bacterium
Lineage: Bacteria
Description: bacterial SSU rRNA
Rfam family: Bacterial small subunit ribosomal RNA
Source: RNAcentral
CCUACGGGAGGCAGCAGUGGGGAAUUUUGGACAAUGGGGGAAACCCUGAUCCAGCAAUGCCGCGUGUGUGAAGAAGGCCUUCGGGUUGUAAAGCACUUUUGUCCGGAAAGAAAACUUCUGCCCUAAUACGGUGGGAGGAUGACGGUACCGGAAGAAUAAGCACCGGCUAACUACGUGCCAGCAGCCGCGGUAAUACGUAGGGUGCGGGCGUUAAUCGGAAUUACUGGGCGUAAAGCGUGCGCAGGCGGUUCGUUAAGACAGAUGUGAAAUCCCCGGGCUUAACCUGGGAACUGCAUUUGUGACUGGCGAGCUAGAGUAUGGCAGAGGGGGGUAGAAUUCCACGUGUAGCAGUGAAAUGCGUAGAGAUGUGGAGGAAUACCGAUGGCGAAGGCAGCCCCCUGGGCCAAUACUGACGCUCAUGCACGAAAGCGUGGGGAGCAAACAGGAUUAGAUACCCUGGUAGUCCACGCCCUAAACGAUGUCAACUAGUUGUUGGGUCUUCAUUGACUUAGUAACGUAGCUAACGCGUGAAGUUGACCGCCUGGGGAGUACGGUCGCAAGAUUAAAACUCAAAUGAAUUGACGG